UUGAAAGGGAAACGAUUGAAGUCAGUCGUACCGGCGGGUAAUCAGCCUUUUGGGUGUGAUUAUGUGGAGCGUGAGGAGUUAAUCACCCUCAUCUUUGCAUAUUCGUGCACUUUGGGUGUACUUGCUCGUGUGGUAGGUUAACAUCAAUUUUGAUCGUCAUAAAAUGAUUGGGGGAAUGUAGCUUCGAUCUCGUAUUGAAGUGUUAUAGCCUUCGGUAGAUGUGAUGAUUGGGAUUGAGGAUUGCAACGGAUACCCUUCGGGGCUACCUGUCUGAUCUCUGAAAGUUGCUCUGGUGCUGAAAGCUUGCUUACGGUAUCAAAGUUGACGUUCAACAGGUUAGAACGGGAUAAAUUCGUUAAGGAUGUUGACGUA
RNAcentral lists this ribosomal RNA (372 nucleotides) under uncultured Glomeromycotina. Its description in RNAcentral is "LSU rRNA". The record is from RNAcentral. Lineage: Eukaryota; Fungi; Glomeromycota.